CUCGAGGCCAGAUCUUUCCGGUUGAUCCUGCCGGAACCGACCGCUAUCGGGGUAGGGCUAAGCCAUGGGAGUCGAACGCCCCGCCGCUGCGGGGCGUGGCGGACGGCUGAGUAACACGUGGCUAACCUACCCUCGGGACGGGGAUAACCCCUCGGGAAACUGGGGCUAAUCCCCGAUAGGCGGGGGGUGCCUGGAAGGGUCCUCCGCCGAAAGGGGCUGCGGGGGGUUAUCGCCCGCGGUCCGCCCGAGGAUGGGGCUGCGGCCCAUCACGGUAGUUGGCGGGGUAAUGGCCCGCCAAGCCUACGACGGGUAGGGGCCGUGAGAGCGGGAGCCCCCAGAUGGGCACUGAGACAAGGGCCCAGGCCCUACGGGGCGCACCAGGCGCGAAAACUCCGCAAUGCGGGCAACCGUGACGGGGCUACCCCGAGUGCCCCCCUUGGGGGGGCUUUUCCCCGCUGUAAGUAGGCGGGGGAAUAAGCGGGGGGCAAGACUGGUGUCAGCCGCCGCGGUAAUACCAGCCCCGCGAGCGGUCGGGGUGUUUACUGGGCCUAAAGCGCCCGUAGCCGGCUCGACAAGUCCCCGCCUAAA
Molecule: ribosomal RNA, 588 nt
Filed under: uncultured archaeon
Lineage: Archaea
Description: partial 16S ribosomal RNA
Rfam family: Archaeal small subunit ribosomal RNA
Source: RNAcentral